This 484-nucleotide ribosomal RNA is filed under the name uncultured bacterium. RNAcentral's name for it is "partial 16S ribosomal RNA". It matches the Rfam family "Bacterial small subunit ribosomal RNA", at positions 29 to 507 of the family's 1533-position model. The record is from RNAcentral.
AGUGAACGCUGGCGGCAGGCCUAACACAUGCAAGUCGAGCGGCAGCGCGGGGGUAACCCUGGCGGCGAGCGGCGGACGGGUGAGUAAUUCGUCGGAAUCUGCCUUUUUGUGGGGGAUAACGUAGGGAAACUUACGCUAAUACCGCAUACGUCCUGCGGGAGAAAGUGGGGGACCUCAGGACCUCACGCAGAAAGAUGAGCCUACGACCGAUUAGCUAGUUGGUGGGGUAAAGGCCUACCAAGGCGACGAUCGGUAGCUGGUCUGAGAGGAUGAUCAGCCACACUGGGACUGAGACACGGCCCAGACUCCUAAGGGAGGCAGCAGUGGGGAAUAUUGGACAAAGGGCGAAAGCCUGAUCCAGCCAUGCCGCGUGUGUGAAGAAGGCCUUCGGGUUGUAAAGCACUUUUGUCCGGAAAGAAGUCCCUGGAGCUAAUACCUUCGGGGGAUGACGGUACCGGAAGAAUAAGCACCGGCUAACUUCGUG